Molecule: long non-coding RNA, 313 nt
Organism: Malurus melanocephalus (red-backed fairy wren)
Lineage: Eukaryota; Metazoa; Chordata; Aves; Passeriformes; Maluridae
Exons: 3
Source: RefSeq, a predicted model, not a curated record
UUUGUACUGGGAUGGACUGGUGCUGACUCAGCAACUGCAGGAAAAACACCACAGGGAGGCGCUGGAGCUGGCCGAGCUGCAGGACAAAGCCACGUCGGCCGAGACGAAGGUUCUGGAAAUGGGGACGACGCUGGAGGGGCUGCAGUGGGACAGCGCCAAACUGAGGAAACGCGAGGGGCGGCUGGACAGACACCUGGCCGAGGCGCUGGAACAGCUGACCUCGGGUUCCUACGGCUCCGGCAGCUCCGGGGGGUUCCAGGGGGGUCAAAUCACCCUCAGCGUGCAGAAGGUACCGGAAAAACGGGAAUUUGGG